This 223-nucleotide ribosomal RNA is filed under the name uncultured bacterium. RNAcentral describes it as "partial 16S ribosomal RNA". It matches the Rfam family "Bacterial small subunit ribosomal RNA", at positions 113 to 334 of the family's 1533-position model. The record is from RNAcentral.
CGACGUGAGGAACCUGCCUCAAAGAGGGGGGCAACAGUUGGAAACGACUGCUAAUACCGCAUAAGCCCACGGCUCGGCAUCGAGCAGAGGGAAAAGGAGCAAUCCGCUUUGAGAUGGCCUCGCGUCCGAUUAGCUAGUUGGUGAGAUAACAGCCCACCAAGGCGACGAUCAGUAGCCGACCUGAGAGGGUGAUCGGCCACAUUGGGACUGAGACACGGCCCAA